CCAGCAGCCGCGGUAAUUCCAGCUCCAAUAGCGUAUAUUAAAGUUGUUGCAGUUAAAAAGCUCGUAGUUGAACUUCUGGUCACGGACGACUUUGGCUUCUGUCGAAGCGGACGUGGCCAUCCGUCAGAAAACCAGAGUGGGCCUUCACUGGUCGCUUUGGAGAUCUGACACUUUACUUUGAAAAAAUUAGAGUGUUCAAGGCAGGCUAUCGCCCUGAAUAUACAAGCAUGGAAUAAUGGAAUAGGUCUGGGUCUAUUUUGUUGGUUUAUAGAACCAGAAAUGAUUAAUAGGGACAGUUGGGGCCAUUAGUAUUUAAUUGUCAGAGGUGAAAUUCUUGGAUUUAUUAAAGACUGACUUAUGCGAAAGCAUUUGGCAAGGAUGUUUUCAUUAAUCAAGAACGAAAGU
RNAcentral lists this ribosomal RNA (405 nucleotides) under uncultured eukaryote. Its description in RNAcentral is "SSU rRNA". It matches the Rfam family "Eukaryotic small subunit ribosomal RNA", at positions 567 to 990 of the family's 1831-position model. The record is from RNAcentral.